GAUGAACGCUAGCUACAGGCUUAACACAUGCAAGUCGAGGGGCGGCAUGGUCUUAGCUUGCUAAGGCCGAUGGCGACCGGCGCACGGGUGAGUAACACGUAUCCAACCUGCCGUCUACUCUUGGACAGCCUUCUGAAAGGAAGAUUAAUACAAGAUGGCAUCAUGAGUCCGCAUGUUCACAUGAUUAAAGGUAUUCCGGUAGACGAUGGGGAUGCGUUCCAUUAGAUAGUAGGCGGGGUAACGGCCCACCUAGUCUUCGAUGGAUAGGGGUUCUGAGAGGAAGGGCCCCCACAUUGGAACUGAGACACGGUCCAAACUCCUACGGGAGGCAGCAGUGAGGAAUAUUGGUCAAUGGGCGAGAGCCUGAACCAGCCAAGUAGCGUGAAGGACGACUGCCCUAUGGGUUGUAAACUUCUUUUAUAAAGGAAUAAAGUCGGGUAUGGAUACCCGUUUGCAUGUACUUUAUGAAUAAGGAUCGGCUAACUCCGUG
This 490-nucleotide ribosomal RNA is filed under the name uncultured bacterium. RNAcentral describes it as "partial 16S ribosomal RNA". It matches the Rfam family "Bacterial small subunit ribosomal RNA", at positions 28 to 507 of the family's 1533-position model. The record is from RNAcentral.